RNAcentral lists this long non-coding RNA (697 nucleotides) under Panax ginseng (ginseng). RNAcentral's name for it is "long non-coding RNA (PGIN_LNC013626)". The record is from RNAcentral. Lineage: Eukaryota; Viridiplantae; Streptophyta; Magnoliopsida; Apiales; Araliaceae.
GAGAACUUUUUGGGAAAUAUAUAAGCUUGAAAAUCAAAAGAAUUCAAAUAAACAAAACAAUCAUAUGCGGAAUAUUGAAUAUUAAUAUUAGAAUGUUCUACAAAAUCAAAUGUGAUUUCUCAUCUUACCUUAAAUCUGAGAAUCAAUUCAAUUUGUUCAAUCGCAAUUUGAUUGAUAAAAUUCCUCCUAAUCUAAGAAUCGAUUCGAUUAUGCACUUUUUCCUGUUUUAUUAUUUUUUAUUUUUCGAUUUAUCUAAUGUUUUAUUCAAUAACAGUAAACAAUAUAUAAGGAAUGAUAGUGGCGAGAGGAAGGAGAAGACCUAAGAAGACGAGAGGAGAGUGAAGACAAUACCUGAAAUUGAAAAUGGCACGACGAGAGUAAAGAACACCUACACGCAGCGGCUGAAUUGAAACGAUUAGACUAAUACACAGUAAAAUUACCUGCAGAGAUCUAUAUUGAUUGGAGGUGAAUGACUCUUCCUUGCUAAUACACUUAAAUAUGGUAAUUUAAGCAAAAAUAUAUAAAAACAAAAAAUACCGAAGAGAAGAUCUAGAUUUAAAGCGUGAUUGAUUGGAUUUGGAGGUGGAGCUUGCUGUUCUUCGUCGUUUGGGAAAAGAUUGCUUUGGAGCAUUUGACGUGGGGAAUAAAAGAAAGCUCCUUUUAGGUUUUUGAUGAAUCAUUUGGACCGAUAGUGGGC